GCUUGCUCCCGGAUGUUAGCGGCGGACGGGUGAGUAACACGUGGGUAACCUGCCUGUAAGACUGGGAUAACUCCGGGAAACCGGAGCUAAUACCGGAUAGUUCCUUGAACCGCAUGGUUCAAGGAUGAAAGACGGUUUCGGCUGUCACUUACAGAUGGACCCGCGGCGCAUUAGCUAGUUGGUGGGGUAAUGGCUCACCAAGGCGACGAUGCGUAGCCGACCUGAGAGGGUGAUCGGCCACACUGGGACUGAGACACGGCCCAGACUCCUACGGGAGGCAGCAGUAGGGAAUCUUCCGCAAUGGACGAAAGUCUGACGGAGCAACGCCGCGUGAGUGAUGAAGGUUUUCGGAUCGUAAAGCUCUGUUGUUAGGGAAGAACAAGUGCGAGAGUAACUGCUCGCACCUUGACGGUACCUAACCAGAAAGCCACGGCUAACUACGUGCCAGCAGCCGCGGUAAUACGUAGGUGGCAAGCGUUGUCCGGAAUUAUUGGGCGUAAAGGGCUCGCAGGCGGUUUCUUAAGUCUGAUGUGAAAGCCCCCGGCUCAACCGGGGAGGGUCAUUGGAAACUGGGAAACUUGAGUGCAGAAGAGGAGAGUGGAAUUCCACGUGUAGCGGUGAAAUGCGUAGAGAUGUGGAGGAACACCAGUGGCGAAGGCGACUCUCUGGUCUGUAACUGACGCUGAGGAGCGAAAGCGUGGGGAGCGAACAGGAUUAGAUACCCUGGUAGUCCACGCCGUAAACGAUGAGUGCUAAGUGUUAGGGGGUUUCCGCCCCUUAGUGCUGCAGCUAACGCAUUAAGCACUCCGCCUGGGGAGUACGGUCGCAAGACUGAAACUCAAAGGAGUUGACGGGGGCCCGCACAAGCGGUGGAGCAUGUGGGUUUAAUUCGAAGCAACGCGAGAACCUUACCAGGUCUUGACAUCCUCUGACAACCCUAGAGAUAGGCUUCCCUUCGGGGACAGAGUGACAGGUGGGUGCAUGGUUGUCGUCAGCUC
This 998-nucleotide ribosomal RNA is filed under the name Bacillus sp. (in: firmicutes). RNAcentral describes it as "bacterial SSU rRNA". It matches the Rfam family "Bacterial small subunit ribosomal RNA", at positions 78 to 1061 of the family's 1533-position model. The record is from RNAcentral. Lineage: Bacteria; Bacillati; Bacillota; Bacilli; Caryophanales; Bacillaceae.